Molecule: transfer RNA, 73 nt
Filed under: Corynebacterium pseudotuberculosis
Lineage: Bacteria; Bacillati; Actinomycetota; Actinomycetes; Mycobacteriales; Corynebacteriaceae
Description: tRNA-Ala
Source: RNAcentral
GAACAGAAGAACGACGCGUACUCGCGAGAGUUCAUAUCUGGGGCUAUGGCGCAGCUGGUAGCGCACCACACUG